CUGGGACACCCUGUAAAUCCAUUGUAUACAUGCAUUACAUGUUAUACAUACAUGUUAUAUACAUGCAUGAGUUGUGGUCCAUGAUCCAUUUGCUAAAACUCCAUUUUUACUUUGCAGCAUUGGUUGUAGGAGUGUGGUAUUACAAAAAAAGAUCAUCUGUGGAUCAUUUCUCUUGUCCUACCGAGUCUUAGUGUCCUCCUGCUUUCAUAAAGUGGAGGAAUGCCUAACGUGAAUGAGGUGGAUCAAUCCUACGCUGAACCAUGGAUGCCUGCAGCAAGUGCAGCGAGAGAUUCUUCUUCUCCAGGUCAUUUAUGUGUGUCUGUUUUAAGGUAAAUUCAGCAGGUACUGCUGGUUUCCCAAGAUGCAGAUAAACCAUGAAAUUGCACUUCAGAAUAGAUUAUUCUGCUUGAUCUGUGUCUAGAAUCAAUAUAUUUUGUAUGUUUUUGCUUAUUUGUUGUUAAAUCAUAUCUUAUUUAGGAAGACUUGUGUGUAUGUGUGCUUCAGUAGUCACGACAAGUUCUUAAAAACUAAUAUUCAGCAUCAGCAGCCAGAGCCUGAGCGAGCUGGAUAUCUGGAGCUUUCCACCAAGUAUGUGCAUUAACUGCCUAGUGAUGCUGCAUUAGUGCCAGUUCCAAAAGAAAGAGGCUUU
Molecule: long non-coding RNA, 649 nt
Filed under: Astyanax mexicanus (Mexican tetra)
Lineage: Eukaryota; Metazoa; Chordata; Actinopteri; Characiformes; Acestrorhamphidae
Description: lncRNA (ENSAMXG00005007162.1)
Source: RNAcentral